UACGUAGGGUGCAAGCGUUGUUCGGAAUUAUUGGGCGUAAAGAGCUCGUAGGCGGUCUGUCGCGUCGGCUGUGAAAACCCGGGGCUCAACCCCGGGCCUGCAGUCGAUACGGGCAGACUAGAGUGCGGUAGGGGAGACUGGAAUUCCUGGUGUAGCGGUGAAAUGCGCAGAUAUCAGGAGGAACACCGGUGGCGAAGGCGGGUCUCUGGGCCGUAACUGACGCUGAGGAGCGAAAGCGUGGGGAGCGAACAGG
Molecule: ribosomal RNA, 253 nt
Filed under: uncultured bacterium
Lineage: Bacteria
Description: partial 16S ribosomal RNA
Rfam family: Bacterial small subunit ribosomal RNA
Source: RNAcentral